UUUGUACAAAUUUUGAUGAGGUUAGAUUUUUUAUAUACAAAUAUGUAUUCUGUUACUGUGGUCAUAAAAUUUAACCUUUAUGGGCAUUUGCAUGUUGGACUUGGCACCCAUAUUCAGACAUGUUAACUUCUAAUCUAUUAAUUUAUUUAUUUUGUUGUUACAAAAAGAAAAAAGAAAAGAAUAAUCUCCAUUUGGCUCAAAAUACAUUUUGGUCCUUGCUAUUUCAAAAUUAACAAUAUUAGCUCGACAUUUGCUUGAGAGUUAAAACACAGCACUCUAGUCCUCUUAGUUUGCCAUUAGGGUUUGGUCCAGUGAGGUGUGCCAAAUUCUUAUGUCUUUAUGCACAAUAUUGCCUCUUUAUCUGACUUGCAAAUCCCUCAUUUUAAUGAAAGUUUGAUGCCAGAAGAUUUCCAAGCCAAAAUCCUUCCUUACAGUGACAUAGCGAAA
Molecule: unclassified non-coding RNA, 447 nt
Filed under: Hevea brasiliensis (rubber tree)
Lineage: Eukaryota; Viridiplantae; Streptophyta; Magnoliopsida; Malpighiales; Euphorbiaceae
Source: RNAcentral